UCGUGUUUCGGCAGUUAAGCUUGGGAUGGUCAUUUUAAGAUGCAUUAUUUGAAUAUAAUCAAAUAUGAAAAUUAUUCAUGUUUAUAUUGAUAUAUCUAUAUUUUAAUUCUUCUUCAAUAUAUCUAGUUAUUAUGACAGAUCUGCCAUCAUCAGGGGUCCAACUGUCAAUUUUAUGUUAAAGUCUUUAACUUUGAUCUACUAAGCAUAUCUCCAAUACUUUUAUGUUUGCUAUACGCAACUAUUGGUGCUGUAUUGAAUAUUUGUACACAGUCUUCGUCGAACUGUAAUAAAUGCCAGUGUUUCAUUAUACGUUUCUUUAUUUUACGUAUAUAUGGAUUAUAUUUAGUUAUUAAAACUAACGGAAUACUUUGCUUCUCUUUAGAUUUG
Molecule: long non-coding RNA, 387 nt
Filed under: Mytilus galloprovincialis (Mediterranean mussel)
Lineage: Eukaryota; Metazoa; Mollusca; Bivalvia; Mytilida; Mytilidae
Source: RNAcentral